GUUAGGGUUAGCAUGAGAAUGGGCUUUGGGCCUCCUUUUAAUUUAAUUAACUGAUGGGCCUUUAUUUUAAAUUGAUUGACUGUUUUAAAAUAAAAUGUUUGGGCCUUAUUUAAAGAAAAAUAGGAUGGACUUAAUUUAUUUAAUUAACUUGGGCAUAUAUCUAUUUAAAUUAUUUGAGCUUUUAUUUAAUAACUUAAAUUGAGCUUGAUUAAUUUAAUUACAUAUGAGCCUUUAAAUUAAUUAUUUAAAUGGAGUCUUUUAUUUGAUUAUUUAUAAAUGAACUUUUAAAAUAAAAUAUUUUGAGUUAAACUCUUAUUUAAAGAAUUCUUUUCAAAUGUCUUAUUAAUAUGGUUUAUAAAAAAGGGAUUAAAUUGUUUUAAGUAUGAGAAAGCAUGAUUUAUGAUGAUAUAAUUUGUCUAUGUGAUAUGUUUUAUGUUUUGUAGUUAAAUGACGGAAUGUUUGACUUGAUGGCGUGAGUAGAACGAGUUAUGAUUGAUGUGCAUGAUGAUGUUCGAAUAAAUAGUUUCGAACCUAAAUGUUAGUUAUGUGAUAACUGUUUUGAGUUAAGGUUUUGAUGCUAGAACCCUAAAAUCAUUAAAAAUGAGAUAGCUUAGUUUAGAGAUCAAUCUUCCUUUCUUUCACGACUUCUUCUCGAACUUAUCGAUUCUUCGUCAAUAAAGGUCCAGGCGGGAAGUGAUAGCUAAAGAGGGAAGUAACUCUACGCCCGUUGUGGGAACGAAUAAGAAGCAAAAAAAUGAGUAGCUGUGGCACUUUCUCCCUCUCUCUGAAUCCAUUAAUUAUUCACAAAGGCAACCACCCUUCAAAGUUAACCAUUAGCAGACCAUCAUCACCGCCCGCUAAAAUCUGUUGCUCCCAGAAUCAACAACAGCCUAAUCUCUCAGUUCUUCUCUUCACUCUUGGAAUACCUGGAUUGGACGAAUCUUACUUGCCCAGAUACAUAGGAUAUGGAUUUGGGGCGCUCUUAGUGUUAAAUCAUUUUCUGGGCUCCGAUUCUUCAUCCAUCACUCCAGCUCAGCUCAGGACGGAGGCAUUAGGACUUUCUCUUGCAUCGUUUUCUGCAGUUGUGCCGUAUCUUGGAAAAUUUCUCAAGGGGGCUACUCCAACUACUCAAAAAAACAUCCCUGAAGGUGUUGAGCAAAUCUUUGUCAUGUCACAGGAUAUUGCUGCUGACUUGAAGGAAGAUUUGGCUUGGGGAACAUACGUCUUGUUGCGUAAUACAAACUCAAUAUCAGUGCUCAUUUCCGUUGAAGAUGCUAUAUGUGUGCGUGGCUAUUGGAGUAUGCCUAAGGAUUUAUCAAAAGAUAGCAUUCCUGAUUGGUUCCGGAAGCAGACACAAAGGAUUGGGUUGUCCGAGUUGAAGGAUGCCAUGUAUCUCCAACAGUCUGCAGAUUCGGAAUUGAAGGAGAUGGUUCCCGUGGGGACUAGGUCUCUCCUUGUCCAACCUAUUCGAGAAGCUUGUGAAUUAAGCUCCAGUCAAACAGGGACGAGGAAGGGUUUCAUCCUGUUGGCUUCUGGAAUCGACUAUGCAUUUACUGAUAAAGACAAAGCAUGGAUAGCUUCCAUUGCCAACAAAUUUAGUGAAAACGUGGAAUGUGUUCCGUGAGAGACAGAAAUCAAGAUUCAGGCACAAUAUGAAGUCCAUUGAUGCUUGGUUUCUACAACACCUUCUCCAAACCAUACACCAGAUUCUGCAUAAACACAGUAGAUUGAAGGACUCACUAGCAUACCUCGCCUAGCCGGGAAAAGUAGGCUGUUGUACUCAAUGGAAGGCCUGGAAGAACCAAACUAUGCACCUGCACUCCAUCUUCUCCCAGAACUUGACCCCUCGCCUAGAAUAUUUGUUUGAGAAUGUAUGUAAGUUCUUAUCCUUUACCAGUUGAAUGACAUGAUCAUACUUAAAAGACUAGGUUUACAUUUCUUCUAACCAGAAUGUCGGUUGACACAUCCUAUCUAUUGUACAUAUGCCUGAGGUUAGUGAUAUUAUUUGCUAUUUGUAUUGCCUCAUGCGACGGUAAGUCCUGUUCCAUGAAAAUAAAGUGAAUGUUUAGGA
Molecule: RNA transcript, 2071 nt
Organism: Salvia miltiorrhiza (redroot sage)
Lineage: Eukaryota; Viridiplantae; Streptophyta; Magnoliopsida; Lamiales; Lamiaceae
Gene name: protein COFACTOR ASSEMBLY OF COMPLEX C SUBUNIT B CCB2, chloroplastic
Exons: 9
Source: RefSeq, a predicted model, not a curated record